This 253-nucleotide ribosomal RNA is filed under the name uncultured bacterium. Its description in RNAcentral is "partial 16S ribosomal RNA". It matches the Rfam family "Bacterial small subunit ribosomal RNA", at positions 524 to 776 of the family's 1533-position model. The record is from RNAcentral.
UACAGAGGGUGCAAGCGUUGUUCGGAAUUAUUGGGCGUAAAGGGCGCGUAGGCGGUGCGGUAAGUCUGUAGUGAAAUCUCUGGGCUCAACUCAGAGUCUGCUGCAGAAACUGCCGUGCUUGAGUGUGGGAGAGGUGAGUGGAAUUCCCGGUGUAGCGGUGAAAUGCGUAGAUAUCGGAAGGAACACCUGUGGCGAAAGCGGCUCACUGGACCAUUACUGACGCUGAUGCACGAAAGCUGGGGGAGCAAACAGG